This 1741-nucleotide long non-coding RNA is filed under the name Pollicipes pollicipes. Its description in RNAcentral is "uncharacterized LOC119105860". The record is from RNAcentral. Lineage: Eukaryota; Metazoa; Arthropoda; Thecostraca; Pollicipedomorpha; Pollicipedidae.
UUGAGGGUGUUGUGUGAGGGCGGUGUCGCAUUCGGGAAGGUGCAAAAUAGUUAACUGGUUGGGACCUGUUGGGUAUACUGCUGCCUGCCGUCAGUCGAGUCACUGAACGCUGCGUUCUAAAGCCUUCAUGUACUUCCAACGGGUGCGAGGAAGCUUCGGAGUUAUAGUAGGCAUUUGUAUAUGUUGCUUGUUGUUUGGCCUUUUCGUCAUCUUGACCGUUCAAACCUCAGAAGAAUCAGUUCACUGCGCUGGCUUGGUUGAGUACCUUCUGAAUGAGUACAAAGAUAUGGCACUUAAAAAAUCUGUUUUGGAGAAGCAAAAGUAUAUUGAAGUGAAAAAACUCAAGGAAGAGCUAAAAGAGCAAUCAAAAGAAUUUAGGAAGACCACAAAGAAUUGUACAAACAUUGUUAAUGGUCUGCGAGGUGAUGUCAAAGGACAUGUUGAAAAUUGGGGAAAAACAAUGAAAUUGCUGGAUGGUGCAUUCAGCACCAUGGAUGGCAGUUCAGCGGUGCUGGUGACUGUGCUGAAGGCACUGCGGGAGGCAGAAGAAAAGGUGGUCUCGCUGGAGCAUCAGCUGGCGCAGCUGACGAAUGCUACCGUCUGACUUGGGCGCUCGUUCAGCCGCUGACUUGUGUGCGACCCGAGGACAGCUGAUUGUCGGGCCGACAUGCCGUCCCCUCCCUUCAGUCGGACGCGAUGAGCGAAGCAGCUGACCGGUGUGCGACCCGAGAACAGCUGAUUGUCGGGCCGAUAUGCCGUCCCCUCCCUUCAGUCGGACGCGAUGAGCGAAGCCACUGGAGUUGCGCAAGAAUAACCGAUAUUACCGAUGCAAGUCCGUCCAUGCGUGAUGCCAGCUCAUUUGUGUAACCAUUUGGCUGCGCUUGCGUAAGAUAUCUCCCUCUCAGGAACGUGUUAUGCGUGAUUGGCCGGGUUUACCCACGCGCUCUGCGUCCAUGUGGUGGGCCAGGUCGAGUCCGCUCAGGGCGCUGCGCACGAACGCCCCAAUCUCGGAGUGGACCGGCCUCCGGUAUCUUCAGGGGCGGUUGGCGGGGCGCGCCAAGAUGUGGAGACAUGCAGCACAAUCCGUGCGCGCAUGGCGCAUGCCGGGCUCCGUGGCCGUGUCGUGCCGCUCACGUGGGCACGCGUCAAACGCUGCCAGCUAUUGCCGCGCUUUCUAAGGUGGCGGUCUGCUGCGUGUGUUGUCCGCCACAUUCUAUUGUGACGUCGUGCUGUGCGCCGUGCGGUUACUUUUUGUCUGAUGUUCGUUUGUGGUUUUUAGCGGCAUGGUGCGCUCGCGGCACGCGCCGGUUUUACAGAGCAUGUGCGGGCAGGGGGGUCGCACGGACAGGAUGGGGAAAACAGGUGGCCGUUUCCCCUCCAAGCCCCGUACAAUUUUGCGUGAUCCCGCAUAAAUAAGUGAGGUACAAACUCUUACUUCCCUUACCCUGAAGUUCCACGAACGGUAAGCGCGUCGGCAGCGGUUGCGAGCCUGUGGUCCGUUUUCCCACAGUCGCCGAAUGUGCAACUUGCCGUUUCCGACUGACGUGGUUUGGUUGGGUGUUACGCGUCGGUGGUUUACGUAUCGACCAAUGUGCCAACGCCGACAUGGGAGGCCAGCUAACGAGAUUAUAAUCACGCCAAUUUGACAUGUUGUAUACUCGGAGGGCAAACUAGGAAUGCGCCCACUUUGCUGGUGCAGCUGCUCUGUCAAUCGUGUAUGAGAAAUAAAGGGUGGAAGCCA